GAUGAUGAUAAGUUGCCAAUUCCAAAUGAAGAAUUUAAUCCUGUGAAUAAGUCUACCAUUUUGAAUUCUUCAGAAGAGAUUAAACAUAUCAACAUUGAUGAAAUAAUGACAAAGUUGAACAAAACAGGUCAUGUUCCUAUUAAUCCACCAGAUGAAACAGAGAAAAAUUCUGCCUUGACUGCUCGAAACAAUCAAGUUUUUCAUGAUCAACCGUCUUUUAAAAUCUGGG
Molecule: non-coding RNA, 229 nt
Organism: Oryza sativa Japonica Group (Japanese rice)
Lineage: Eukaryota; Viridiplantae; Streptophyta; Magnoliopsida; Poales; Poaceae
Source: RefSeq, a predicted model, not a curated record